UGCGGAAGGAUCAUUAAUGAAUUUUACGCCCUAGUCUUAACUGAUAGGGGCUGGUUCUAUCCAUAACACCUGUGCACUGUUGGAUGCUUGCAUCCACUUUUAAACUAAACAUUAUUGUAACAAAUGUAGUCUUAUUAUAACAUAAUAAAACUUUCAACAACGGAUCUCUUGGCUCUCGCAUCGAUGAAGAACGCAGCGAAAUGCGAUAAGUAAUGUGAAUUGCAGAAUUCAGUGAAUCAUCGAAUCUUUGAACGCACCUUGCGCUCCUUGGUAUUCCGAGGAGCAUGCCUGUUUGAGUGUCAUGAAACCCUCAAACCCAAGUUUUGGAUUUCGGUCCAUGCUUGAGUUUGGAUUUGGAUGUUUGCCGGUGAUGAACCGACUCAUCUUAAAAGUAUUAGCUGGAUCUGUCUAUAUGACUGGUUUGACUUGGCAUAAUAAGUAUUUUGCUGGGGACAUCUUCGGAUGGCCAGGACCUAGACUAUUGUCUGCUAACUAAACCAUCACUUUAAGUGCAUCCUUGGAUGUUACUCAUUGUGUAACUUUGACAUCUGGCCUCAAAUCAGGUAGGACUACCCGCUGAACUUAAGCAUAUCAAU
RNAcentral lists this ribosomal RNA (596 nucleotides) under Filobasidium oeirense. RNAcentral describes it as "eukaryotic LSU rRNA". The stretch from base 149 to 302 matches the Rfam family "5.8S ribosomal RNA". The record is from RNAcentral. Lineage: Eukaryota; Fungi; Basidiomycota; Tremellomycetes; Filobasidiales; Filobasidiaceae.